AUAACAGUAUGAUAGACGAUUUGUAAAAGGAGUGAUUUUUAUAUGACUUUUUAAUGUACAUCAGAAUAAAUCCACGCUCAGGACGUUGGUUGUGCCAAUCUUCUAUGACCAUCAUUAUAUGAUUUUUACUGGACAUCAGAAUAACUCCACGCUGAGGACAUUUGAUGUCCCAAUCUUGGGGGGGGGGGGGGGGGAUAAUACUAUUUUUUAAUGUACCUCAGAAUAAAUCCACGCUCAGGACGUUGGAUGUUCCAAUCUUCUAUGACCUUUACACAGGCACUUGUCUCAGAAAAAAAUUCUAUAUACCUUAAUUAAUAUAACACAAGGUACUUAACUCGCAUUUUUUAAAGGCACUGGCUACGGUUACAUGGAAAUGUAAAAAUAAUAAUAAUAUUAUUGUUACAUUGGAGACUAAAUGCUGGAAUGCAUGGUUGGGUAAGGACCUGAUUAAUUACGAAUGUAACAAUAAUUAUUGAGGCUACGGUUACAUUGCGUUAUUGUUACAUGAAAAACAGCAAUGUACGCUAGAUUUAUUAAACUUACAUCUUCUAUAGUUUUGCAUCUUCGCUAGCCAAGGGUUACGAUCCACUUCCCUCCUCUCCACCCUUGGCAGAUUAAGCCAACAUUUGUGAUAACAAUGUUGCGCCAUCUAUCGGUAGAUUAAAGUCACGCCCAUUCCGAAUACAUUAUUCUUGACCAAUGGUAGCACUUGAACUCUUCAAUUUGGAGGUAAAAACACGGUAGCAUCUAGAUUCUACACACUUGAUAAAGCAGGAAACGAAAAUAUACGUUGACAUUCAUGCAUUUGUACAAGAAACAUACACAAGAACUUCUAUUAAUUGAUUAAAAACAUUCAAAUUGUCACUAAAUAUAGUCGUAUGUUUAGGGAUGUAAAGACUUGUUGCACAAUAAGCACGUGCCAAUUGUUUACAUAUACACUUUCUACAUUUACACGUGAUCAUGUUAUAGGCGCUUUUUGAUUGGAUGCAGCGAGUUUCGAAUGCAACCAAUGAAAAUCAUUACCUUGUGUCUCCGAAAUUCUAUCUCAAUCCGCCAAGGGUGGAGAGAAGGGAAGUGGAUCGUAACCCUUGGCUAGCGAAGAUGAUAGUUUUGUUGCUUAAUUCUUUCAUAUGUACUAAAUAAUACUUGUAAUAAUGAUAAAUAAUAAAUAUUAUUAUUCAACAAAUGGUGUUUAAAUAGUUUUACGUAUUAAUGGUUUUGAUGUUCUUAAAGAUACUACUUCAGAUUAGUAGUGCCAAAGGCGAAAAAUAUAGUUCAAUGGUUUGUUGUUGAGAACUCGGGCUGAGAAAAGUGUUCACUUCUAAGUAUUUAACUGCACACCUACUACUUAUUACUGUCAUUAUACUUUGAACAAUCACGGAUGAAGAGAUUCCUAUUGCCAAUUUUGUUUUGGGUGAAAAAUUUAAAACAUGGGAUGCGUUUGAAACAAAACUGAAACAAUAUCAAGACACAAAUUUCAUACAGCUAUACAAACGCAGUUCUAAAAAAAAUUGAUACAUCAAUAGCAAAGUUUGCUAACUGUGAACAAAAUACUGUGAACUUCUGUAUACAUGUAUCCAUGGAGGACGUAAUUUCGUUUCAAAAUCAGAUGGAGCUCGCCCAAACCAAAGGUAAGUUUUUUUUAACAUAUCUACGAAUAUCAAUGGGUCAUAAUAUCCAUGCGAGAUUUAAAUUACAUUCGAGUUAUAAAAUUAAAGUUUAAAUUGACACAGACCAAGUGUCCAACGUUUUUUUUUCUUCCAACGACAUAUUUGCUGUUUUGCAUUGCUAGUUUAAUGAAUGUAGUAUGUCUGCCUCUGCCUCUUCGAACUCUCUUGCCUCGUUUUUGUUAUGAAAUUGUGAAUUAAUUCUUAAAACCUGAUCUAAAGCAUUGUGUUUUUGUAUUUUUAGCACUUUCCAGAUGAAACUGAAAUGUAAAGACGGUGUAUUCUUUGAAGUCACGAAUUUCAACAAUGAACAUAACCAUGAAAUUACUAAGGCGUCUUACAGACACCUAUAUCACCAGCGUAAGUUGGAUUCAGACGUAAAAAAGGAUGUUGAGAAAUUACUGAAGAUGAAGUCAAACAAGCGUUUGGUGCAGGAUCAUAUUUCUGUGAUGACUGGACAGAUUGUUACAUUGAAAGACUUACGCAACAUAUAGGAAACACUACUACAUCUACUAACACAGAUUUUGACGCACUUCUCUCUAGAAGGAAAGACGUUAAAGCAGAGCUAUCACCUCGUCAACAGCUACGAAUGGAAACACAUCCCAAGAUGAUGAAUCACACCAUGACUCCAAUGACGACAAUGGCAUCACUUCGUCUGAUGAUUUCCCGUUACUGAUAGACCCUUCCUAUAAGCUCCCCCUAAAAUGAUACGCCGAGGACGACCGAAAGGUGCAGAAACGACCGUCGUUGGAUUGCCCAAAAGAACGAAGAGAGUCAUGCCGUUUCUUAAAAGACGACCAAAGGAAAAAGAAGAAGCACUUUCCAGAUGAAACUGAAAUGUAAAGACGGUGUAUUCCUUGAAGUCACGAAUUUCAACAAUGAACAUAACCAUGAAAUUACUAAGGCGUCUUACAGACACCUAUAUCACCAGCGUAAGUUGGAUUCAGACGUAAAAAAGGAUGUUGAGAAAUUACUGAAGAUGAAGUCAAACAAGCGUUUGGUGCAGGAUCAUAUUUCUGUGAUGACUGGACAGAUUGUUACAUUGAAAGACUUACGCAACAUAUAGGAAACACUACUACAUCUACUAACACAGAUUUUGACACACUUCUCUCUAGAAGGAAAGACGUUAAAGCAGAGCUAGCACCUCGUCAACAGCUACGAAUGGAAACACAUCCCAAGAUGAUGAAUCACACCAUGACUCCAAUGACGACAAUGGCAUCACUUCGUCUGAUGAUUUCCCGUUACUGAUAGACCCUUCCUAUAAGCUCCCCCUAAAAUGAUACGCCGAGGAUGACCGAAAGGUGCAGAAACGACCGUCGUUGGAUUGCCCAAAAGAACGAAGAGAGUCAUGCCGUUUCUUAAAAGACGACCAAAGGAAAAAGAAGAAGCUAUGCUAAGUUGGAUACUGAAAUGUGAGGUAAACCUAAAAUCCGUAAUGGACGGCAGUGCGAUCAUAUUGAAAGACGACAUGAAACUACACCACAUGCUUCCAACCAAAAUAUUGGAUGAGAAUAUCAACAUUGCUAGAGUGAAAAAGUAUUUCUCACCAGAAACAUGGUAAACAUUAAAGGUUGCCUUAUCUUCUAAAAGGGAUAUCGCAGAAUGGAACUGCACGAUAUGCGAUACGGAAGUUCACAAUGCAGCAUCACUGGUGUGUGAUGGCUGCUUGAAGUGGUUUCGUCAGAAAUAUGUCGGACUUAAACAUGCUCCAAAAACCACUUACUGGAUAUGUAGAAAAUGUCAUUGUAAAUAAAAAAUUAAAGAAAUUGUAUGUAAUAAUUGUAUGUAUUGUAAAUAUAAAAUAAAUGUCUUCAACUUUUA
Long non-coding RNA from Mytilus californianus (California mussel), 3488 nucleotides. RefSeq lists it as uncharacterized. The record is from RefSeq and is a predicted model, not a curated record. The transcript is spliced from 9 exons. Lineage: Eukaryota; Metazoa; Mollusca; Bivalvia; Mytilida; Mytilidae.